UGGCAAGUCAUCUCUGCAGCUGGUGGUC
RNAcentral lists this non-coding RNA (28 nucleotides) under Homo sapiens (human). Lineage: Eukaryota; Metazoa; Chordata; Mammalia; Primates; Hominidae. The record is from RNAcentral.